Rhododendron vialii is the source of this 805-nucleotide long non-coding RNA. RefSeq lists it as uncharacterized. The record is from RefSeq and is a predicted model, not a curated record. The transcript has 2 exons. NCBI's taxonomy places the organism in Eukaryota, Viridiplantae, Streptophyta, Magnoliopsida, Ericales, Ericaceae.
GUCUAUCUUCCACGUAGAGAGAGAGAGAGAGAGAGAGAGAGAGAACGGUGGAAAAGAAGAAGAAGAAGAAGAGAAGGAAAAAAAUUGGGAAAAAUCUUGCUUGACUUGGAUUGAAGCCCUACCUUGGAAGCUCGGGUGGUUCGUAGAGCCGAGGUGAGUGAUUUAAUACCUAAACACAUGAUUUUGAACUUGUUUUCCCUAUCAAGCUUAAUUGAACAUGAUUUAUAAAUUAUAUACUCCAUGGAUAACAAUGAAAGGUGGACCUAUUUGUGAAAUAUUUGCGAAUCUAUUUAAUGGCAUUCCCAACGUCCGGUCUUGCUAGGGGACGGCUUAAUGGCUAGCAAGGGUGUUUGAGGUUGGUGUGUGUUUUGGGAUAAUGCAUAGACGUCUGGCUUAUCCACUACUGGGGACGCCCGGUAGCUUUUGAAUUUUGAAUAGCAGAAUGUGCAUUAUAUUUGGCUUAUGGUUUUGAGUUCUUUGUUUUGAAAUAUUAUCAAAUUAUUUUGCAUUAUCCAUGGAAGGCAUGUGAGUUAAGUAUUAAUCAUUCACACGAGCUUUGGCUUAUGGAUUUUGUUUUCCACCCUUCAGGAAGCGACGCGUAGUGUGGUGGCGUGUUUACUUUUGGGAUGUGUUGGAAACUUGUAGAAAGGAAGUUUUGCUUGUAGACACUUAGCUUUGUAUAUGGUUUGCUAGCUUUUGGGUUUGUAAGUAAGAACAACUUUGAGAGGUUUAUCUUUUGGUUUGUAAAACCUAAGUAAGACUUUGGUUCGUUAUCAAUAAAAGUCGUCUUUUGCUUCCGCUGUUA